GACGAACGCUGGCGGCGUGCUUAACACAUGCAAGUCGAACGGAAAGGCCCUGCUGUUGUGGGGUGCUCGAGUGGCGAACGGGUGAGUAACACGUGAGUAACCUGCCCUUGACUUUGGGAUAACUUCAGGAAACUGGGGCUAAUAACGGAUCGGAGCUCCGCUGGAUGGGGGGGGUUGGAAAGUUUCGGCGGUUGGGGAUGGACUCGCGGCUUAUCCGCUUGUUGGUGGGGUAGUGGCUUACCAAGGCUUUGACGGGUAGCCGGCCUGAGAGGGUGACCGGCCACAUGGGGACGGAGAUACGGCCCAGACUCCUACGGGAGGCAGCAGUGGGGAAUAUUGCACAAGGGGCGGAAGCCUGAUGCAGCAACGCCGCGUGCGGGAUGACGGCCUUCGGGUUGUAAACCGCUUUCGCCUGGGACGAAGCGUGAGUGACGGUAAUGGGUAAAGAAGCACCGGCUAACUACGG
This 466-nucleotide ribosomal RNA is filed under the name uncultured bacterium. Its description in RNAcentral is "partial 16S ribosomal RNA". It matches the Rfam family "Bacterial small subunit ribosomal RNA", at positions 28 to 506 of the family's 1533-position model. The record is from RNAcentral.